UACGGAGGGUGCAAGCGUUAAUCGGAAUUACUGGGCGUAAAGCGUGCGCAGGUGGUUUGUUAAGUCCGCUGUGAAAUCCCCGAGCUCAACUUGGGAAUUGCAGUGGAUACUGGCAAGCUGGAGUAUGGUAGAGGAAGGUGGAAUUCCCGGUGUAGCAGUGAAAUGCGUAGAGAUCGGAAAGAACACCAACGGCGAAAGCACUCUGCUGGGCCGACACUGACACUGAGAGACGAAAGCUAGGGGAGCGAAUGGG
Molecule: ribosomal RNA, 253 nt
Filed under: uncultured bacterium
Lineage: Bacteria
Description: partial 16S ribosomal RNA
Rfam family: Bacterial small subunit ribosomal RNA
Source: RNAcentral